GCGCUUGUAGCUUAACAGGAGAGAGCGCUGGCCUCCGGAGCCAGAGGCUGUGGGUUCGACUCCCACCAAGCGCG
RNAcentral lists this transfer RNA (74 nucleotides) under bacterium. RNAcentral's name for it is "tRNA-Arg". It matches the Rfam family "tRNA". Rfam says of the family: Transfer RNA (tRNA) molecules are approximately 80 nucleotides in length. RNAcentral also lists the same sequence under 2 other names. The record is from RNAcentral.